AAAUUUAUUACUGCAAAGCUUUCGAUCCGUAAGCCCGGAUCUUCAUCAGUGCUAAUAAUAUGUGACUUGUUUAAUUCACACCACAGAAUAGGAAGUUAUACCAGAAGCGUAACUGGAGCAAAUAUUUUUCCGCGUUUUUACAAGCGAUUCGUCAUCAAUCACGCCAUCCUGGCUAGUACAACCGGCACUUUGUACCUACCAAAUCCUGAUAAAAACUUCCGGCUGUACUGGCCAGGAUGACGUGGCCUGACGUGAGCGAGUUAAAAUUUUCGUGGACGUCAAACAAUAAG
Non-coding RNA from Paramuricea clavata, 290 nucleotides. The record is from the annotation of a GenBank genome assembly. NCBI's taxonomy places the organism in Eukaryota, Metazoa, Cnidaria, Anthozoa, Malacalcyonacea, Plexauridae.